Small nuclear RNA from Loxodonta africana (African savanna elephant), 107 nucleotides. Lineage: Eukaryota; Metazoa; Chordata; Mammalia; Proboscidea; Elephantidae. The record is from Rfam.
UGCCUGCUUCAGCAGCAAUAGACCAAAAUUGGAAUUACACAGAGGAGAUAAGCAUGGGGCCCCUGUGCCAGGACGACAUGCAAAUUUGUGAAAGUAUUCCAUAUCUU